CACACUAUCGUUAAGUGAAUACAUAGCUUAACGAAGCGAACCGGGGGAACUGAAACAUCUAAGUACCCCGAGGAAAAGAAAUCAACCGAGAUUCCCCCAGUAGCGGCGAGCGAACGGGGAGGAGCCCAGAGUCUGAAUCAGCGCGUGUGUUAGUGGAACGGUCUGGAAAGUCCGGCGGUACAGGGUGAUAGCCCCGUACACUAAAAUGCACACGUUGUGAACUCGAAGAGUAGGGCGGGACACGUGGUAUCCUGUCUGAAUAUGGGGGGACCAUCCUCCAAGGCUAAAUACUCCUGACUGACCGAUAGUGAACCAGUACCGUGAGGGAAAGGCGAAAAGAACCCCGGCGAGGGGAGUGAAAAAGAACCUGAAACCGUGUACGUACAAGCAGUGGGAGCCU
RNAcentral lists this ribosomal RNA (400 nucleotides) under Klebsiella planticola. RNAcentral describes it as "partial 23S ribosomal RNA". It matches the Rfam family "Bacterial large subunit ribosomal RNA", at positions 144 to 582 of the family's 2925-position model. Lineage: Bacteria; Pseudomonadati; Pseudomonadota; Gammaproteobacteria; Enterobacterales; Enterobacteriaceae. The record is from RNAcentral.